CACGUAGGGCGCGAGCGUUGUCCGGAAUUAUUGGGCGUAAAGAGCUCGUAGGCGGCCUGUUGCGUCCGCUGUGAAAGCCCGGGGCUUAACCCCGGGUCGGCAGUGGAUACGGGCAGGCUAGAGGUAGGUAGGGGAGAUUGGAAUUCCUGGUGUAGCGGUGGAAUGCGCAGAUAUCAGGAGGAACACCGAUGGCGAAGGCAGAUCUCUGGGCCGUAACUGACGCUGAGGAGCGAAAGCGUGGGUAGCGAACAGG
This 253-nucleotide ribosomal RNA is filed under the name uncultured bacterium. RNAcentral describes it as "partial 16S ribosomal RNA". It matches the Rfam family "Bacterial small subunit ribosomal RNA", at positions 524 to 776 of the family's 1533-position model. The record is from RNAcentral.